GGUGGGGUGACCGAUGGCGAGGUAGCAGUCCGCAAGGCUGUGCACGCAGGUUCGAUUCCUGCCCCCACCU
RNAcentral lists this transfer RNA (70 nucleotides) under Leucobacter aridicollis. RNAcentral's name for it is "tRNA-Cys". It matches the Rfam family "tRNA". Rfam says of the family: Transfer RNA (tRNA) molecules are approximately 80 nucleotides in length. Their secondary structure includes four short double-helical elements and three loops (D, anti-codon, and T loops). Further hydrogen bonds mediate the characteristic L-shaped molecular structure. tRNAs have two regions of fundamental functional importance: the anti-codon, which is responsible for specific mRNA codon recognition, and the 3' end, to which the tRNAs corresponding amino acid is attached (by aminoacyl-tRNA synthetases). tRNAs cope with the degeneracy of the genetic code in two manners: having more than one tRNA (with a specific anti-codon) for a particular amino acid; and 'wobble' base-pairing, i.e. permitting non-standard base-pairing at the 3rd anti-codon position. Lineage: Bacteria; Bacillati; Actinomycetota; Actinomycetes; Micrococcales; Microbacteriaceae. The record is from RNAcentral.